RNAcentral lists this ribosomal RNA (379 nucleotides) under uncultured eukaryote. Its description in RNAcentral is "partial 18S ribosomal RNA". It matches the Rfam family "Eukaryotic small subunit ribosomal RNA", at positions 592 to 975 of the family's 1831-position model. The record is from RNAcentral.
CAAUAGCGUAUAUUAAAGUUGUUGCAGUUAGAACGCUCGUAGUCGGAUUUCGGGGCGGGCCGACCGGUCUGCCGAUGGGUAUGCACUGGCCGGCGCGUCCUUCUUCUCGGAGACCGUUCCUACUCUUAACUGAGCGGGAGCGGGAGACGGGACUUUUACUUUGAAAAAAUCAGAGUGUUUCAAGCAGGCAGCUCGCUCUUGCAUGGAUUAGCAUGGGAUAAUGAAAUAGGACUUUGGUGCUAUUUUGUUGGUUUCGAACACCGAAGUAAUGAUGAGAAGGGACAGUCAGGGGCACUCGUAUUCCGCCGAGGGAGGUGAAAUUCUCAGACCAGCGGAAGACGAACCACUGCGAAAGCAUUUGCCAGGGAUGUUUUCACUG